This is a long non-coding RNA of Oxyura jamaicensis (ruddy duck), 8469 nucleotides long. RefSeq lists it as uncharacterized. NCBI's taxonomy places the organism in Eukaryota, Metazoa, Chordata, Aves, Anseriformes, Anatidae. The record is from RefSeq and is a predicted model, not a curated record. The transcript is spliced from 3 exons.
UAUUACAUAAACAAAUAUUUCAUUUCCAAAGCAUGUUACUUAUGUCAUGUAGCUAUGGUAAGAUACUUCAAUUUUCUAUAAACUGAGUUUAUGAGCCAAGGUUUAAAUAUUAAUGGCCAAGGAUAUUUUUUUCUGUAAUUUCUUCACGAAAAGGGCACAGAUGGUGCUUUUUCACGUGUCAACAGAAUUCUUCCUUCUUAGUGUUUUCAAGUAACCUCAUACUAAGUUACCAGACCAGGAGACAUAUGAAAAACUUGGUAAGUGCAGUAAGUUAGAGUGAAAACGUCAAUCAAAAGCUUUAUUCCAAACCUACUAGUUUGUUUUCUAUUUCAACAUUAAGGAUCAUUUUUUCUGAGUAUGUUUUGAACCUAAACCGAGUUCUGAUCUUGUAUUCCUAGAGCUAAGGUUUAGAGCACUGAAUUUUCAUAUAUCUUAAAACUUAACUCCAACGGUCAUAUUAAAAGAACACAAGAGAUUUCAUCGCUUCUGUUGAGAAUCGUUGAAAUGAGGAAUCUAGAAAUCUGACCCAGGACCCCUUGAGUCUUUAAAACUCUCCCUUCGUGGUAGAAUUUGGUUGUGGAGAUGUUUGCGGGAUCCUUUUGCCAGAGAUGGUGUUGCUGGUCUGUGAUGAUCCCUGCAUUGUUGCAGCAGAAAUUUUCUUUGACUAUUUGGGGUGUGUUUCUGUUUUUUGAGAUGUUUUAGGAAAUGUUCCAAUCACGCUUCCUCACAAAUAUUGUGGAAGGGAUGCACAUUGAUGAAGAUUACUCAAAUAGUGGGGUACCUCACAAGAACUUGGUAUGUAUGGCUAUCUUAAAAAAAAAAACAAAAACAAACAAACAAAAAAAAAACUAAUAAACUAACUUCCUAUUUACUAACUAACUUACUAUUUUCCUUUUAUUUUCACUUCUACAGGAUGCAGCUCCAUUGACUACAGAGAACUCCAUUGACUGAGAAGUAGAAACCUGCAUAUUUCCAAAGCCUGGAGGGAAAGAAGAGGUUUGAUACAAACUACCCUGGUAGCAUGAACUAUUGCUUUUCCAGUUAUUACUGUCUCAUAUGUAGACAUGACUCUAGAAGCUUGAUUUCCAGGCUACAAGUCCUUUUAUGAACACGCUCUGAUCACUCACACAAUGGAAAUAUAUUUAUUUUUCUAUAGAGCUUAAUAUUGGCUCAAAGAAAAAAAAAAAACAGUUUAAUCUUAACAUAAAGAUUUUGAGCAAUCUUAAAUCUUGAAUGAUUCUGUCACGUUCCUUGAUGGGAUGCCUUUGCAGUGACUUACCUCUCCAAGGUACUUGUUUAUUUUUUAUUUUAGUUUAGACCUAUUGGAUCUUGUUCUAUUUUGUAAUUAGUUCAGUAAUCCAUCUUCCCUUGUAGAAAUCUUUACAGACUCCAAUCAACCACUUGUUAGUUUUUAUUCAACAACAUAAAUAAAAUACAUUGUAAAUCCCUUGCAAGAUACAUUAUACAUAGAUAAUUCUUAAAGAUGUGGUUUGUCAAAACUGCUAUUUGCUGUAUAUGCCUGUUAUCGCAUAUUUUUAUAGAACAUGGCUGUAGUUCAAUAUUUAAGUAUAUAAAAAGGUAUAAAAUAUAUAAACAGAAACAAAGGGAAGAAGCUGAAAGGAUACAGAGAUUGUAAUAAUUCUUUAUGCUGUGCGCUGGAAUGUAAAAAAAAAUAAUAAUAAUAAUCUGUGCACACGUCUUGUUGACAUCUGCCAUCACCUCUGUGCUGUAGCAUGUCAGAAAGUGAAAAUAUCCAAGCUGUCAUUCUGUAAAUGAAUGGUAAAAUUACGGGUGUGGCGUUAAUUUGACUAUAGAAGUGAUUCAAGAAGUAGUAUUUGACAGUACUUCUGGAAUAGCUCUUGAAACAACUGCAGAGUCAACCUCAGAAACAGUUUGAGAACCAUUUCUGGAAUUUACUCUAGGCAAACUUCCUGGGUUGGCAUCAGAAGUUAGCUGGGAAACAUUUCCAGAAGCGGCUCUAGAAGUGAUUCUAGCAAGAAGGUUGAGAGUUGAGUCUGGCAGAUAUUGUAGCAGUGUUUUUGAAUCAGUGGGGGAUCCAGGCAUGGUUCUUUAGCUGAAUCCAGAAAUGAGCCUGCAGUUGGCUGUGGGAUUUAUUCUGGAAUCGGUUCUAUUGGUACAGUUCUAGAGCCACUUCCAGAAUUAUUUCUAAUCACUUCUGCUGAAAAGUUGUUUAUUGUGCAUAGAUACAAAUGGUUUGUGUUUGUGUUACAGAACACUGAUAGAAGUAUUUUUCUUGCUGCUGCUGCUAGAAGUCUGUAGGUUGCAAGACAGUUUCAGGAGCAGUGCAUCCUAAUAUGUGUGUUAAUGUCACUUUCUGACUCAAAAACGGAUUUCUAUCCUAUCCUUGAUAGUGACAACCAACAAGAUGAACUUUGUUCAAGUUUUUCACCCCAAGAAUGACAAUGAGCCUCUUCAAGUUUAAUCAGACUGGUGCAUUUAUCAAUGUCUUGGAUUAAACCAUUCCUAAUGCAGGUAAAUAUUUGAAGUUUCAAUUAAAAGAGUACUUUAUUAAAAAAAAAAAUAGCUAAAAUACAAUACGUAGAAUAGAAUGCAAUACAUAACAUAAGCCUCUUCAGCUCUAGAAUCAUAAAAUCAUAACCAGAGAUCAUUUUCACUUCCAUUUCCAGAAAGUGUUUUCUCUUUUCUAGCCUUACAAAACAGGUGUUAAGCUAACAUUAUGCCCUGUAUGUUUAAGAGCAUUCAAAGCAGUGUUUUGCUUCAUCUCCACAAGCUAAUUGCCUAUGACUUUUGAUGUUUAGAGAUGGAACAUUCAUUGCAACCUUCCGUUCAAUGAGCCUGUUCUGGUUCAUGUGAAAAUCAACAUCCUUUUUUGUGUUGCUGCCUGACAGGAUGCUACAAUACUAUUAGCAUUUGCAAAGGGUUUACUCCGUCUAAUAGUGCAACCCCCAGAUCACAGGCUGCUCAGUUUGUGUUUCUCUAUUAUAUGAAAGACACAAAGAAGCUGAAGGCUGGCAAAGGCCUGUCAAAUCUUGUAAUGUAGCAAGCGACCCCAGAGCUUCAUUCUGCUUUAUAUCAUCCCUUGUUCCCCAUCCCACCCUUUCCCUUGAAUGGGCUCUGAGGUAGGUAAAUGAAUUCAGCGGUAUGGUAGGCGGAUGAUUCCUUUCUGACCUCAUUCCUGUACCAUUUGUUUCCAGGCUUGUUGGAGGGAAGGGGACAUAUCGGAACCUUUUGUUUCAAAUAAUUUUCUUGCAGGUUGGGGAGUUAAUGCAGACCUUGUCUGAACUCACCCGAGCGGAAAGUGUUCUGGGUAUGUGUCCUGACAUGCUUGGUCCCUUGGAAUUGCCACAUUAAAGGAGAAAACAGUGAAUUGGAAUUCUUCAGUAUUUGGCAUUGCUUAAACACCUGGACACCUUUUUUUUUUCUUUUUUUUUUUUUCUUUUUCCCAAUGCAUGUGUUUAUAUCCUGUUUUAUGCCUUGAAACUUCUGUCUUAAGAUCACACAAGAAGAAAAGAACAAGCUUUGAACAGCCCAGUGUUAACUUGUUUGAGUCGGGAAGAAGAUGAGGCUGAGAUACAAGCUGAGUAAAGCAUACACUAGACAGUGGUUUGCAACGGGGCAUUUCAGACCAGUGUCUGAAAUUGGCAAGGUAGUUCUUAGGUUUGAACAGUCAUGUUGGUUUGUUUAGGGAUUGUGUGUUUCAUGGUAAGGAAAGCAAUGGUUUCCCACGUAGUAGGAUUGAAUUUGAGAAGCAGUGAAUCUUCUAAUGCCAGAUUUGCCAGCACUGUGCAUCCUUAAAGAUACUUUUGUGGAAGGAAGAAUAAAGGAAAGUCACCACCAAGAAAACAUGAGGUGGGAAUAUCGUCAUAGCUGUCCUGCAUAGUUGGGAGUUUGCCCUCUGCACAGGCAUUACUUAUGAUGUUUGGAAGGUCUUUUUUGCCUCUGAAGUAACAGAUUAUGAAGAUGUUAAGUAUAACACAGAAAUGUUAACACCCUUAAGUCUUAAGUGUAUGUAGUAGUAAGUUUACAGUAUCUGAAGUGUGAAAUCAUGAUUAAACCACAAUAGGAAACUAUUAACAUUAUUUUACACUCAGUAUUCUUGGAAGUAUUUUGCUGAAGAGAAAUGUUCUGGAUAAUUUCAACUGCCACAGCAGCAUAUAUCUGUGGGAGGAAAAUGGGAGAUGCACAACCACCUCCAUCUAUCUAGUCUUGUAGAAAUGUUUUGAGAGACCUGCUUAUGAUCUGAGCUCAUCGCUUUAUAUUGCACAUAUGCUUUACAGAAAGCUCCUACAAGCCAAAUGAGACACUGGAACAAAUCUGCUAGAACUUCAGCUAGUCUAGUCUUGCAGUUGAUAUGAAAAAUACAGACAUAAAGGGAAUGAAAAAGGAUGGUCGUAUUCCAGGUAAGGGUGUUGCCUUAAAACCAUAGAUGUAUUAAUGAUUUUAUGUUGAUGUUCUGUAGCUUGAGUGUACAGACAGAAGGGAUGUUUAUCAUGUUGAUUCCUGUGCAUAUUAACAGAUGUUCUGCAUCGUCCUGUAGAACUUCAUGAUAAUGACAUUUUAUGAUACAAAUAGUGUUACUCUUGAAAUCAAAAUUCCACAUCCUGCACAGAUUCAGGGCAUUCCCUAAACAAACUCUUUGUUCAUGCUUCAUUUGUGACUCCUCUGUGACAUGUUUAUGUAUCUCAGGUGGGAGAGGAGCUUAUCUAACAGUUGUAAUCUCAAACCCACCUAACCUGAAAGUUAUUUGCAUGUGCAAAUUAUCUUUGUAGUUUAGGACUAAUUACAGACUAAUUAUAUCAGCCAAAUAGGAUAGCAUCCCUGCCCCCUCCCCCCAAUUGCUAAAGGAGUUUGUACUUUCACAGGGCUCCAGUGCUGAUGGUACAUAGUUUUAUGCAAGUCCUUGUCUACUUUCUCACUAGCAAGGCCAGCAUGAAUAUUGGCUGUAUAAAGCCCUUAAAAUCAAAAAAUGAUCUUCCACCAGUAACAAGGAAGGCCAUCACUUCUGUUCUUAUCAUGUAAUACCUCUGCUCUAACCAGUGGAAAAAAAGUCUGAUUUUUGUCUUGACUUUUAUAUGGCAGCUCUGAUCAACUGGAUCUUUUUUGCAAGGAAGCUUUUUUAAGCUAUUAGAUGUUUGUUUCACUUGCUGCCACUGGAUACUAUUUCCCUAAGGAAAAUAAGAGCAUCCCAUUUAAAAAAAAAAAAAAAAAAAACUUUUUAACCUCCUGUCAGUUUAUGCAUGGUCCACCAUUCAGCUGGAGAAGAUAGCAUUUCCCAUUUCAGUAAAAGAAAAUAAUUUUCCAUUGCCCGUUGCCUGAAAAUUAGAAUUCAACAAGGCUUAUGGAAGUGCAGCUAGCAAUAGGUUGGUUAUCUUAUGAAAGUUUAUCUCAGUACACUGCUUUGUUACAGGUUUUUACUCAUCCUGUUUGCUUUUCCUGCCUGCACAACUUUCUUCUCAUCUGUCCUAUUGGCAUGUAAAUUACUCCCACACCAGGUGACAUCCUCUGCCCUGCGAUGUGUUGAAGGUCAGAUUAGAUUUUCACAGUAGAGCCACCUGGCUUGAAAAACGUAUACAGUGUAAUUCAUGCUACUGCUCACAUCCCUUUUUUGUUUAGUUUCUGGUAUCUUGGUUUUAGCUACAAGUGUGUAGCACAUUCUUUGUGAAUAUACCUAUACCUCAAUUUAUAUGCUAUGUAUGCAAUGAAAAGAAACAUGCUACAUCAGAAAUUCUAACUUUCUGCCUGGUCAGGCAGAACAGAACAUAACCCAGAACAGAAUUUAUAUAACUGUAUAAUCCAGUCUGAAAGACAAAUGCUAUUAAUAAAGAGUAGCAGAGAAGAAGCAUUGGGGACGGGUUGGUGGCAAGAGGCUGUUUUCAUGUGGAAACAAGGGAAUGUUAUACCACUUGCUGAAGCCUAAAACAACUCCCAGAUCCUCACUGAAACUGAGCUUUGUGAUGAAAAGACUUGUAGCCUGUUGGGCCAAGAGAUGGGGAUUAUAAGAAUAUUCAUGACUCCUGAGAAUCAGCAGGUGAGACCUAAUGCACACAUUUGCCCCUUACCCCUUCCCCAGUUCAGCCUUUUGGUAAACAGUACAUAAAGGCUGGGUUCCCAGAGUGGCUGAACUAAGUUCCUGAUUUUUUUUUUUUAUUUUAUUUUUUAAAUGAAGAAUAGAGGAAAAGGGAGGCAGGGGGGUGAAGAAGAUUGCAGUGGUUUUGCCACUUGUCCCGAGCAGAAGCACGGACUCUCCCUUUCAUUUGUAAAGAGUAACUGUGUGGCCAAACCAGAAGUCUUGUGACAUUACUUAAGAAAGCAGAAUGGUAUCUUAGCAUCCAAGGCCUCAUUUAAAACAUAAAGAAAAGCCUGCCUUAGAGCUUGGAUAAGCUGGAGAGGAAUCUCUGUGACAUAUGUGCAUUGUCUUAGGAAAGCAUGGGAUGAAGCCAACUGGUGGGACACAGCCUUAAUACACUAGGGAUUUGUCAUGCCUGUUUUAGGGUAUUUACUAGCCAGUAACACCCAGCAUGUAGAGUCCAGGCAGUGACAGUAUGUGAUGCAGCACACUGCUACAGGAGAGUGAGUGGCAGGGGAUACUGUAUGGGGCACUGAUUCCUUGGGCAAGGUGGGCAAAGUAUUCUUACUGCAUCUCCCAAGUGAAACACAAAUACGCUGUCAAUAGUAGUUCUCACAAAUUAAGACUUCGCAAAAUUGUCUCACUCAUUCCCUGUGGUGUGGGCUAAGAGGGAUUCUCAUGGAUGCUGAUGUUGUCCUAAUUCUGACAGACUUCACCUGCAGGCACGAAGUAGCACGCUCAGUGUAGCAGGGGGAGGGAUGGCUGUCAGCUCUUUAGAUGAAGCCUGGGUGUUGUCAGCUCUCUGAGGCCUGAAUCAGUGCUUGCACUGAACAGAGAAGAACAUGCUUCAUUUUGUUUUAAUUCUCUGUUGUUUCCUGUCUUUUCUUUGCAAAACUGGGUCUGUACUGUUUACUCUGUCCUGUGAUCUAGCACAACCCCAUUCUAGUAACUUUUCAUUCUCCUACCCAUGGAUUGCAGCAGCAGGUAAGUGACAAAGUGAUAUGACAGCGGGAGGUGUCCUGAUGAAUGCAAGGGAGGGACAUUUAGGCUGCUUUCAGUCUAGGACCUGUGGCACUUAGGAAGGACUGGGCACAGCUGGAGUACUAAUCCUGCAUAUAUCUGCCUCUGGAGUAAAGCAAGUGCAAGCAUUUUCCAGGUUCUUUAGGUUUCCUGGAAGGGACACUCAGGUGAAGCCUUUUGGCUGUACUGAGACACAGAUGACUGAACAAAAGUUUGUUUUGGUACAAAUCUACCACUGUGCCAACAUCUGAUGUAGCCUGAAGCUUUCAGAACAUGUCAAUGAAGCUGCAUUAAGGUGAAGGGAACGUUUUUGUAAGGUUUUCAGCCUUUCUGGGAAGGCUUCUUUACAGUGUUUAAAUCCCCCUUGAAAUUUCAGUCUGCAAGAGCAAUAGUGCCUGCCUCUGAUAAAAUUGUUGUUAAAUUUAGUUUGGAAGUGUCUAAGCCUUGGAUCCUUGUUUGUUGUAUCCUAGUGACAACAUCAGAACAAGAUUUCAACAGUGUUGAUGUUAAUCUGAAUAUAACUCAAUAGCACUGGCUUUUGUGGUUGGAUUUGAGUCUUCAGCAGUUGAAACUGAAUUGCUGCCUGCUCAAUAUAGUUUUUCUAGUAACUGAUGCAUCUAGGUCAACAAAUUGACAGGCAUUGCUCAUUUUACUGCUUGGCAAAUAUUGAACUAAAGUCUUCAGCACUGUAACACUGUUGACAAUUGCAGGAUAAUGGCAUUGUCCUCUUUUGUUACCGUGAAGUGCAUCUUUGCAUCUGAUUCUGGCACAUAGCACACUCUGUAAACAACAAGGGAUGUUGUGAUCUGGAGUCGCAAGUGUUUGCUCUGACAAUAUAAACUUAGUGCCUGCUCUCUGAAACCAAACAGUCUGUGUCUGCCAUGGUUACUUCAAAGUUGUAAUGAAACAAGCCACUCUCUUCCUGAAAACAUUGGAGGGCAGUGGCCAAGCUGUUGUUGAAGUUUUCUGUUUGGAAUGCUCUCCUUACCGCACUCCUUUAUUACAUUGCAGGUCUACGUUGAGGAGUCCAGACUAAGCUACAAGAACCUGAAAGUGGAGAAAAAUACUUGUCAGGAAAAAAAAAAAAAAGAAGAAAAAAACAAUAGUACUGACUUAGUACUUAACGUUGGUCUAUCUGGUGGUAAAGACCAGAAUGUGCCACUGUGAUCAUUUGCACCAAGCUUCCAGCUUCUGUCUGGGGUAAGAGACCUGCAAGAAAGAAUCAUUGAGGACUGAUUUAACAACUCUCCGUGAUGGAUCUUGUCAACAGCUGCACGGUGUGUUGGAGGGGGUCUUGCUGGCCUGUGACCUUGCCUUUAUCUGUCGGUCUGUCACCACUGGUCUUCAAAGUGCAGCUUAAAGGAUCUGAGGCUUCUGUGUGGCCUUGAUGUGAUCUGCUU